ACAGUCCCCUCUCCUGCUCCUGGUACAGGGUCACACACAGCCCCCUCUCCUGCUCCUGGUACAGGGUCACACACAGUCCCCUCUCCUGCUCCUGGUACAGGGUCACACACAGUCCCCUCUCCUGCUCCUGGUACAGGUCACACAGUCCCCUCCUCCUGCUCCUGGUACAGGGUCACACAGUCCCCUCUCCUGCUCCUGGUACAGGGUCACACAGUCCCCUCUCCUGCUCCUGGUACAGGGUCACACAGUCCCCUCUCCUGCUCCUGGUACAGGUCACACAGUCCCCUCUCCUGCUGCUGGUACAGGGUCACACAGUCACCUCCUCCUGCUCCUGGUACAGGGUCACACACAGUCCCCUCUCCUGCUCCUGGUACCGGUCACACAGUCCCCUCUCCUGCUCCUGGUACAGGUCACACAGUCCCCUCUCCUGCUCCUGGUACAGGUCACACAGUCCCCUCUCCUGCUCCCUGGCUGCUGAAUUUUAUACUGAACUUAAGGUCUCCUUUUUUGAAGUCUUCCAAAGAGCACUCCACAUCCACCCAUUUCCCAACAGGCUGGUGGCAAGACCUAAAAAGGACAUGAACUAGAAAAUAAAUCCCCUUGAGUCCACA
This 611-nucleotide long non-coding RNA is filed under the name Oryctolagus cuniculus (rabbit). Its description in RNAcentral is "lncRNA (ENSOCUG00000031559.1)". Lineage: Eukaryota; Metazoa; Chordata; Mammalia; Lagomorpha; Leporidae. The record is from RNAcentral.